RNAcentral lists this ribosomal RNA (403 nucleotides) under bacterium. Its description in RNAcentral is "partial 16S ribosomal RNA". It matches the Rfam family "Bacterial small subunit ribosomal RNA", at positions 355 to 776 of the family's 1533-position model. The record is from RNAcentral.
UGGGGAAUAUUGCACAAUGGGGGAAACCCUGAUGCAGCGACGCCGCGUGAACGAAGAAGGUAUUCGUAUCGUAAAUUUCUGUCCUAUGGGAAGAUAAUGACAGUACCAUAGAAGAAAGCUCCGGCUAAAUACGUGCCAGCAGCCGCGGUAAUACGUAUGGAGCGAGCGUUGUCCGGAAUUAUUGGGCGUAAAGGGUACGCAGGCGGUUUAAUAAGUCGAAUGUUAAAGAUCGGGGCUCAACCCCGCAAAGCAUUGGAAACUGAUAAACUUGAGUAGUGGAGAGGAAAGUGGAAUUCCUAGUGUAGUGGUGAAAUACGUAGAUAUUAGGAGGAAUACCAGUAGCGAAGGCGACUUUCUGGACACAAACUGACGCUGAGGUACGAAAGCGUGGGGAGCAAACAGG